GAUUAACGCUGGCGGCGUGCAUGAGACAUGCAAGUCGAACGGACGACUCGGGCUUGCUCGAGUCGUUAGUGGCGGACGGCUGAGUAACGCGUGGGUGGCCUGCCCCGAAGUGGGGAAUAACUGCCCGAAAGGGUGGCUAAUACCGCAUGUGGUGGUGCGUUCGAUCGCAUCAGUAAAGCCGCAAGGCGCUUCGGGAGGGGCCUGCGUCCGAUUAGCUCGUUGGCGAGGUAACGGCUCACCAAGGCGACGAUCGGUAGGUGGUCUGAGAGGACGAUCACCCAGACUGGGACUGAGACACGGCCCAGACUCCUACGGGAGGCAGCAGUCGGGAAUUUUGCGCAAUGGACGAAAGUCUGACGCAGCAACGCCGCGUGAGGGAUGAAGGCCU
RNAcentral lists this ribosomal RNA (388 nucleotides) under uncultured bacterium. Its description in RNAcentral is "bacterial SSU rRNA". It matches the Rfam family "Bacterial small subunit ribosomal RNA", at positions 28 to 417 of the family's 1533-position model. The record is from RNAcentral.